This 448-nucleotide ribosomal RNA is filed under the name uncultured bacterium. Its description in RNAcentral is "bacterial SSU rRNA". It matches the Rfam family "Bacterial small subunit ribosomal RNA", at positions 8 to 460 of the family's 1533-position model. The record is from RNAcentral.
AGAGUUUGAUCCUGGCUCAGAUUGAACGCUGGCGGCAUGCCUUACACAUGCAAGUCGAACGGUAACAGCACUUCGGUGGCUGACGAGUGGUGAACGGGUGAGUAAUACAUCGGAACGUGCCCGAGAGUGGGGGAUAACGCAGCGAAAGCUGUGCUAAUACCGCAUACGAUCUACGGAUGAAAGCAGGGGACCGCAAGGCCUUGCGCUCACGGAGCGGCCGAUGGCAGAUUAGGUAGUUGGUGGGAUAAAAGCUUACCAAGCCGACGAUCUGUAGCUGGUCUGAGAGGACGACCAGCCACACUGGGACUGAGACACGGCCCAGACUCCUACGGGAGGCAGCAGUGGGGAAUUUUGGACAAUGGGCGAAAGCCUGAUCCAGCCAUGCCGCGUGCAGGAUGAAGGCCUUCGGGUUGAAAACUGCUUUUGUACGGAACGAAAAGGUCUUUUC